RNAcentral lists this ribosomal RNA (426 nucleotides) under uncultured marine bacterium. Its description in RNAcentral is "bacterial SSU rRNA". It matches the Rfam family "Bacterial small subunit ribosomal RNA", at positions 360 to 802 of the family's 1533-position model. The record is from RNAcentral.
AAUUUUGGGCAAUGGGCGAAAGCCUGACAGAGCAAUUCCGCGGAGGGAAUGAGAACGCUCAAAGGGUUGUAAUCCUUCUGUAGUAAGGAAGAAAUUUCGGUGUUACCUAUAGAUUCAACGUAAGCCAAGUCUGUGUCAGCACCCGCAGUAAUGGUGAUGCGGCAAGUGCUAUCGGGAAUCAGUGGUAGUAAGGCUUAAGUAGGCGCUGUAGGUAGUGCAAUAUAGAAUCGAGAAGUUAAGGCUCAACCCUGUAAUAGCAUCUAAUAAACUUGGGGAUGGUUGCGGUAAAGGGAAUUUCCAGUGGAGCGGUGAAAUGUGUAGAGAUAGAUGGACCAGGAGCACCAAGGCGAUUUCGUGGGAUAUUUCUGGAAUAAGAGUCAAAGCUAGGGGAGCAAAAGGGAUUAGAUACCCCUGUAGUCCCAGCCC